UUAUAUAUGCAAUUGAGAACUCAUAUAUUUUGUAAGUGAUUUGUAAUAAAUUACUUUGUUACAUAUAUUAAACUAUUAUGCACUCGUAAUCUGUUUCUGUAUCUGACACCCUUAUGGCUUAAUUAGCAUUUGGGAUGUCACAUAGAUAUUUGACUUAAUUUUAAUUUGUUGAAAUAUUUUUCCUAAAAUUUUUCAUUUCUUGUUGGUAGUGAUAGCACUUUGAUU
This 225-nucleotide long non-coding RNA is filed under the name Carica papaya (papaya). Its description in RNAcentral is "long non-coding RNA (CPAP_LNC004745)". The record is from RNAcentral. Lineage: Eukaryota; Viridiplantae; Streptophyta; Magnoliopsida; Brassicales; Caricaceae.